Molecule: long non-coding RNA, 2104 nt
Organism: Gasterosteus aculeatus aculeatus (three-spined stickleback)
Lineage: Eukaryota; Metazoa; Chordata; Actinopteri; Perciformes; Gasterosteidae
Source: Ensembl
CAGCAAAUAGGAAAACACAACGAAAUGAACCUCUUACGGAAAGGGUAGGACCCUAUAAGCAGAGGACGGACCCUUCUGAUUGGACAGGCGGACUGUCUGUCAACAGGAAAUGAGGACUCGCUCGCUUGCUAGACCUUCAUUCCGCGCGAAAAUACGGCGAAAAAAAGAAUGUUUGUCGUCAAAAGUUGUUGGCGAACCAACCGAUUUUUUGCAGUGGUUGUGGACAGAUACUUGGAAAAAGUCUGGAGUCUUUGGCUCAACCCACCGAUGGACCAACUUCAGUGAGCACAAGACGUAAUUUCAACGUUGAAAUAUGGUUGAAAUCGGGUUGAAACGUUCUGAACGUCUAAGACCUCAUUUCAACGUCUUUUCAACCGGCUAAAAAUGGGAUGAAACAUCAACGUGCCAGAAAACGUUAAUUUGUUGAUAAAUGUGUCAUGUUGUAACGUAAGGUUGAAAGAGAGACGAUAUUAACGUUAAGAUUUUCAGAAUAAUUAAUGAACUGGUCGGCGAAAUUUGGUCUACGCGAAGACGUAAUUUCAACGUAUUUACUAUUUCGCUUAAAACGUCAUAAAUAUGAAACUACGGACUGCGUGCUGUCAAUAAGAUGCGUUUAAGACAUAAUAAUGCGGGCAGGUUCAAACAUUACUUGUAAACACGUAACUCCGCUCACAUCUGUAACGCGCAUGCGCGAGUUCUUAGACGCCUGCAGAGCUCCGAGCGGACGCAGCACGAAGCGAAGUUACGGCAGCAGAGCGACAUGAACGGGCUGAUAGAACCACGACUACCGGCUCCACUACUCUAAUCCUCAAGUGAGGAUGAGGGAGAUGCAGCUGAUUUCAGGUUUCUGCGGGUGGUGGUUGCAUCUGAUGGAGGUUACGUCUGAUGAUGGUUGUCCCUGCACUGGUCCUGCCUUACCCCUGGCUUAGUAAUCCACAAUAUUAGAAUCAUUUCUGUCGUAGGAAUUGGAUGUACUGUACAUCUUUAAAUUGUUCAUACUCUACACACCUACUGCCUUGCUGUUUUCCCCUCAGGUUUCUCCCGGUUGAAGGUUUUUUACAUUUUGGGGGUUUUGGGACAGGAUGUUGCAUGUUUACAGAUUGCAAAGCUGAACAAAAUAAAAUGAUUUUGUCACAGGGUGAGGUCAAGUUGGGUUUUUGUCGGCAUGUUUUGGUCUUGUCAUUUCCGUUUUAUUUUGAAAGUAGUAACCUUCCUCUCGUUUCAGGUCACUUGCCCUUCCUCAUGUCACCAGUCGAAUCGUCUCCCCUGAUUCCUGAUUGUGUCCACCUGUUUCCCAUUACCCUCAUGUGUCUUAUAGUCUGCGUCUCCCUUUGUCUUGUGCCUGAGUGUACCACCGUGCGAUCACCCAAGCCUCGCCACAGCCACAGGAUUUGUUAAUACCAAUGCCUUGUCUCGGAAUGAUUACCCCUUUAUGUUUUUUCCUCUGAGUAAGAGUGACCUUUGUUGGAGCUUCUUAGUUUUAGUUUUAGCGCGCUUUCGAAGCCGUUCGUUUUCCUCGAUUAAGAGAGAUUUUAGUUUGUUAACUUUCGUCGGAAACACUGAUAGCUCAUAGCCGUUUGUUUGUUUUUUCACGACGCGAUUAAAGACGCCAAACCCUCUGCAUCUGAGUCCUCAUUUUUAUCCGGUCCUGACAGAACACUCAGGCCAGUAUGGACUCAGCAGAGGCAGAACAGAUGGCGGCAGCCCUGGGUGCCCAAGAUGCCCGUCUUUCCCGUCAAGAGGAAUUCCAGACGUCACUGGCUUCUCACAUAAGCCUACUCUCAUCCCAAAUUCAGGGUCUGCGUGACCUUUUCGUCCAGGACACCACAGCCCCCAGGGCCCCGACAGUAGAGGCUGCUCCUCCCCCGACAGCGGUUGUCCAUGGGUCUGGAGGAAGGUUAGCCCCCCCUGAGAAAUUUGCGGGGGAGCAGGGACUAUGCAAGACCUUUCUCAUUGACUGUUCUAUUCAUUUUGAACUGACUCCUCAUGCUUUCCCCACCGAAAGGUCCAAGGUAGCAUUCAUGAUGACCCACCUGACCGGCAGGGCCAAAGCAUGGGCCUCGGCAGAGUGGGCUCGUGACUCCCCACUCUGCUUUUCCCUCAC